This 1920-nucleotide long non-coding RNA is filed under the name Rattus norvegicus (Norway rat). RNAcentral describes it as "long non-coding RNA NONRATT031946". Lineage: Eukaryota; Metazoa; Chordata; Mammalia; Rodentia; Muridae. The record is from RNAcentral.
GCUCCAGGCAAUGGCAUCCAGGUGGCCAGACAGGCCAGUCCUGGCACAGGGUCUCUUACCACACCCCAUAGCUUGCUCAACUCUAGAGUAAUACUCCAUGAGGAAGAUCCUUGGGCUUCUUUGUCAGGAACCAUAAUGGAACAAGCAAGGUUGAACUUUCCGUGAUGUGGGCAGCGGUGGCCAAGGAAGGAGGUGAGCAGUGUGUCUGUCUAGAGACCUGCUGAGUUGAUGGAAGCUUUUCCUGUCUGACCUGCCCUUGAAAAGGACUGUCUGUGAGCUGAUGACUUGGGGAGAUGGGGCUGAGAGGACAAUGGGAAAAAAUGUGCAGACCUGUAGGGGAAACCCAGGGGAUGAAGGCCAAGGCUGAAUGACAGCUACAGGAAACCAACAGUGGAUGUCAGAGGCGACAGAAGCCAGGGUCUAUCCAUGGAGAGGGCUGGACACAACUCUCUACUGCCUCUGCCUCAUCCCCUCUCUUCCCCGUGGCUCGGGAAGAUGGGCGAGCCAGGAAGAUCAUAAUUUAUUUCUCUAGAAAAAAGAAAAGAAUUCCCUUGGGAAAUCUGCAGCUCCGUGAGCCAGAGGAGGCUCUGGCUCCUCCCUCACGGUGUCUGCUUCGGGAAUGAGUUUUCUCGGAGAUCCUCAAGAGGCUGGGUUCUGACUCCUCACCAGACCUUUGGGUUGGUACAGGACCAAAGCCCACGUUACUGGGUCUUUAUAAUUAUACACUUGUAUAACUUGUAGAACAGCCCACAACAUCCUUUGUUGCAUAUUUAUAGUGAGUUGUGUUUCAUACGAUCCUGAAUAGUCUGGAAUUCCAUAAAACAAAGUGGACGGAAUGAAUGCUUCUCUAACACACAGGAACCAACAAAUAGGAUUGGCAGAGGGCACCUGCUAGCAUUAAAGUAACAGAAGAAUAAUUGUGGGAGUGUUUCAGAGCAGGGUGCCCUCUGUGCCUGGAAUCAGGGGGACCUUUGCUUUGGGUUUAUUGGUGAAGGAACUUGGGAACCUGGGAUCCCUGCUAAUCUCUCUAAUCUAAGAAUGUGGAGUGUCUCAGUGCAACUCUGCUUAAAAAUAGCUAGAGUUCACUCUGCAUGUGUGCAUGCAUGUGUGCUACGUGCAUGUGUGCGUGCUGUGUGAAUGUGUGCACGCAUAUGUGCUGUGCAUGUGUGUUCAUGCCUGUGUGGGUACACACAUGUAUGCACAUGUAAAGGCCAGCACUUAAUCUAGUGUCUUCCUCAACUGCUUCCCACCUUGUUGUAGACUUACUUGUUUGCUUGUUUUUAGAGAGCCCCUCACAAGCCCUCAAGGUCUGGCUGUUACCAUCCCUCCUAUGCUGGGCUUAUAGGCACAUGUCACCAGGCCUAGGUUUGUCAUUGUGGGUCCUGGGGCCCAAACUCAGGUCCUUAUGCUUGCAUGGCAAACAUUUUACUGACUGAGCUAUUCCACAGCCCUAUUCCAGUUCACCGGAAGGCUUUGUUUGCACUGGGCAUCUAGUAAAGUCAGGAGAAGGAUAGGCCAAACACGAACAGUGACACGUCCCUAUCAGUUCUUAUGAGAGGUUGUUCAAAGCCAUCGCCAAACUAUGACAAAUCUCAUUCAUUGAAGGGAUGUCUAUGUGUCUCUUUAGAUAAAAAGUGCUGUCUCCUUGGCCAUUUUGCAGACAUGCUCCUCCCUCUGCUUCCCUGCUCAUACCUUCUGGUGUCUCUGUAGGGAAAGCUGCUAUCCGGUGAAUUAAAAUAAGCAGUGUGUGUUUGAAGAGAUUGGUAAGGGGAAGACUGUUCCGAACAGAUGAACACCUUUGUGCUCCUCAGGCUCUAAGGCAAGGACCAUUUUCUUCAGUCAGAGACAGGAUAGCCAAAGAGGGACCAAGCAGGUUAGAGGGUCACCUAGUGCAACCCCAUUUCACAGGGGUGACAUUAC